GUGGAGACCAACCAGCCACAUGUGCUGGGAAGCCACAAGAAAGGAGGAGGCCAAACACAGAAUAACUGCUCUGGCAGGUAUCCAUGCAUCUCUCUAAUGCCUCCCUGUCUUAUCUUCAUGUCUUCUUUCCAUAU
Mastomys coucha (southern multimammate mouse) is the source of this 134-nucleotide long non-coding RNA. RefSeq lists it as uncharacterized. The transcript has 3 exons. The record is from RefSeq and is a predicted model, not a curated record. Lineage: Eukaryota; Metazoa; Chordata; Mammalia; Rodentia; Muridae.